This is a long non-coding RNA of Corvus hawaiiensis (hawaiian crow), 4461 nucleotides long. RefSeq lists it as uncharacterized. The transcript is spliced from 3 exons. The record is from RefSeq and is a predicted model, not a curated record. NCBI's taxonomy places the organism in Eukaryota, Metazoa, Chordata, Aves, Passeriformes, Corvidae.
GCGGCACCUGCGGCCGCCGCGGCGCGCCUGCACGCCGCUCGUAGCGCCUGCACACCGCUCGUAGCGCCUGCACAGCGCUUGUAGCGCCUGCACAGCGCUCGGCGCGGCUCGGCGGGGCACGGGCGGCGCGAGUGAAGCCCUUUUUGAUUCACAUCCAGUUGUAUCAUGACUACACUAAAGACAAACCAUACUACUGCGUGAAUAACUUUGGAUUAUCUCUUGCAGUUCAUGUAAUGAAUGACUGUCUACAUCAUCCAAAUCGGCAAAUAAAUAGUUGAUGUAUCAAAGACUUGUUUAAAAAGUCAAGAUUUGAUAUUACGUAGCUGAAAGACAUCUGGUGAUUAUAUUUCUCAUAUGUGUGUAAAUGUGAAGAGAGCAGUUCCUAGUGUUUGCCUCCCUACAGCCCUUCCACCUCAUGGCCUCAGGGGCAAAGACUGCUUUCCCAGCCUGCCUAGUAUGUGGCAUUAGAUGCUACAGCCUUGUUCUUGCAAACAUAUGCUGCUGCAAGCAAGAAAAAUCUAUUGUGUACAAGGGGGUUGACUGGGGUCCUCAGGAAGAUGGCUUAGUGUAAGUGGUAUGUUGAAAACAUCAUUCUUCUUGCAGAUCUUCAGCACAACAUACUGCCUUCAGUCGGAUGCUCACUGCUGCAUAGCCUGCUGCGCUUUGAGCCGAACAGCAUUUUCACAAAUGUCCUGCUGUCAUUACAGAAAUAUUUUAUAAGCCAUAUACUGAGAGCUGCAAUACACAAGAAGACUCCAGUCAUGCAGGAAUACAGAGCUGGACAUGCCUUGGUGUAUACUGCUAGCAGAUGGCCUUCCUUGUUUGUCUGUGGAGGAUACAGGUUUACUGGGGGGAAAAAAAUUAUUCUUUGUGCCCUGCAUUAUUCCUGAUCUAUGAGCAUCUGCAUCUGGCUUUGUGAUGGGGAUCCAGCUUUCUCUCUGGGAUGUACCUAGCUCUUUGUACACCCCAGAGUUUGGACUCUAAAGCAGAACUUCCUGUAAAAUAAUUUUUAUUGUUUCAACUUUAUUAAAGCACUUGAGUAAGUUAGUGCAUGAAUCCUGUAAUCCACAGAUUUUGGUGGAAUCUCCAUAAAAGGAUCUCAGACAGAAAAGUUUUCUCCAUCCUUAGUACCAUCCUUAUGGGAACUCUGUUCAAGAAAGGGGCAAGAAUCCUGCUGGAUGCUGUGAGAUGAUCUGCAAGAUGGGAGCUAUCUGCACUGAGGUUUCAUGUCUUUGCAGCAUUUAUAGUCUUUCAAAGGCUUGCUUCAUGUGGGAAUGGGAAGGUAUUUGGGGGUCUGCAGCAUGUAUAAUGAAAUAGAGAGUCACUUGUUCAUACAAGGAUACAAGCCAGAAUAUAUCCGUACAGGAGAAUAGAAUAAAAUUGUGGGUUUCUGUCUGCUGAAAAUACAUGCACAUGGGGGAAUAGCCCUACUGUGCUAGUGAUAACAUAGGAGCAAAGCACCCAGGAUGGUCUAAGGCUUAGGAAGGGUGCUGAAUUUUGUAGGGAACGUGAGCUGGCUCUUGAAACGCCUUUUUGCAUCAUGUUGGGGAAAACACGUUAGCAUUUGCUUUGUUUCCAUUUGUGACCUGCAGUCUCUGUUUUUUGCCAUAUGUGUUUGAGUUGAACUUCAGCUUUGGGGAAGUCAGGAAGCUGCAGACAGUAGGCAGGUAAGAAAGUGCACAACCUCUGUACAGAGCGGGAGUGUGAAGGGAAAGCUGGCAUUGCCACCUCACUUAAGCAAGUUCCCAUAGUCAAGUGGUUUAUGGUAUUAAAUAUUAUGCGUAAUUGUUUUAUUACAGCUAAUUAUUUUUAGCGAAGUCUCCACCUUGUUUUCUGGCCAUAACUGGUGAAUAUUUUUGAACAUGUGAUGUUUCCUGGAAAAAGCUGGAAAAUAUUGCCAAGAAGCUAAGUGAACCAGUUAGGCAUUGCCUUUACCUUAAAAUAUGACACAACAAGAAAAGGCAUCAUAUUACCUUUCCUUUUGGGAAUUGUGGCAGAUAUUGGCUCCCUGAGACUUUCCAACAUCAAUUCAGCUGUUAAUGCAUUUGGACUUAUGAAAAAACGGAUAAGUGGUUCCAUCAUUUAGUUUGGAUAUUUUGGGGUAAUUAAUUUACCCUACUGGUUAUAGAGUGUAAAGUCAACUUACAAGAAAAAAUAAAGAAGGAAAAGGACCUUCUGGAGUACACGUAAUAUGAAUUCAGUGUGUUUUGUUCCUUUCUCUUUUUGCCUUAAAGACCAUAUAGUCUCCAUUUCUAAAUGAAUUCCUGAAGCACUGGGAUUACUAAUUCAGCCUCAGGUCUUAAAUCAAUGGGACUUUUGCCUUCGGCUCCUUUGGUGAAGGACAUGAAGUGAGGAUGUGUCUACAAUAUUCAGCCUAAUCUAACAAAGAAAAGGAAGGCUUCAUGGGUAGAAAAAGCAGAAGCUAUGUAUUAUGGGAUAGUAUCUUGCAUUAGGAUCAGUUGCAGAAAUAUUUUCUUCAUUGUGUGCUGGCAUGAAAGACAUUAACUGCUUAAGAGAUUGCAUGCCUGAAAUGACAGUAAAUGAAGGAGGUGUGUCCAUGGCUAUAUUUUGGAGGUGCAGAGCCAGGAUCUGUAUUACUGACUUCAGAGGAGUUGUGCAGAGGAUGAGAGAGUGAGAAUGCAUCCUUUGGGAAUAAUUUAAAAUAGAUCAAAUUUAUCUCACUGAAGCAAAUGCUACCGAGUGCUUGGUAUUAAUAAUGCAUUGAAAGCUGCAGCCACAUGUGAUGUUUUCUUCACUCUUGAGGAAAAGGAUUAUUGUAAGCCUUGAAUGUUCCUUUCGUUGCUCCAGUCAGAGUAAUCUUGAGGGCUCUCAAGGUACUCAAGGAAGGCUUACAGGAAUGUAAGUGGGCUUUUCUGAAAGGAAAGAAACCAUCCUACCUUUUCACUUUGUUCCAGAGGAGUGUGUCUCCUGCCAUGGAAGAAUGAAAGGUCUGGAAUUACAUGCUACCUAGUGGAUUAAAAAAAGAUACCGCUUUCAGUUAAAUCCCUCAGGAUUGUUUCCUCUUAUGUCUUUUUACUUAUCAGUUCCUUUUUCCCUGGCUCAUACUUAAAGAAGUCAAAAGAUGCAGGUGUUUGAUCUCAUCCUCAGAGUGGAGGUCAGUGAGGCUGUGAACAUCUGUGUGAUUGAGGCAACCAGAUCUAAAGCCCUCUCCUGGGGUCCCAGAGCCCUUGGCACUGAUCUGAGACCCUGCAGUCUGGGACCAAGAGUGAGGUGUCUGUGCUCCCCUUCAGUGCAAAGGGUGUAGAUGUGCAGUGGUGCAUACUCAGCUUGGAGCUGCAGGGAGACAGCAAGUAGGACAUAGUACGGAUGGGUAUUUGAAAUCCUAUCCACCUCUGUUGCACCCAGCUUUACCAAAUGGCUGAACAGCCUGUACAGCAAAUGGAGGACCAAUGCAUUUGCCCUAGAAUCUGUUCAAAGUGUCAUGAUUUUCUUUUCAUACCAUGUGAGUGGCACUGUUAGUUACAACAGGAAAGGCUGAGGGCAUCUUCUCCCUCACUCGUACUAGACCAAACCUGUUAGUACUCUCUCCUGGCAGCAGAAGGAUGUGGCUGUCAACUGGUAUCGAGAAGAAAUGAGCUCUUGGCCCUAUGGAAAUGCUGUAGUAGGAUGCAAUACGCCGCCAAAUUGCGUAUUUUUUUUUUCCAUUCUCUCGGGCAGCACACCUAUUCUUAAACCACCAUGGUCACCCUCAAGGAGUUGCCCUGAAAGAUUUUGAGCUACUUCCUUUACAACAUGUGUUUCUGAAUAUGCGUUUUAUUCAAACAAGAUCUUACUGUAUUUUCUGCUUUUCUUCUGUUGUUUUCUAUUUAAUUCUCUAUGAAUUAAUAGAUGUGAUGACUACUAGUAUCAUCUGUUCAUGGUCUUCCAUCUCUUUCUCAGCCUAUAGGCAAAUACGCUACCAAGCUCUGGGUCUCACAUGCUUCCUUGCUACAACUGUCUGUGUAGGUUCUCACGAGACAAAUGCACCUACACAGGUCAUUAUCUUGGGCUUGCACUUCUUUUUUCAAAUUGCAGUUUCACAGUGCUCACUUCCAAACCUGUGUCCAUGUAGAGCGCUUCAUAAUUUCUGGCACAAAAAGAAUGAAAACUUAAAUGAGAUCUGUUAUGGCCAAUGGAAGUCUAUCGUAGAUGGCAGAUAGUGUGCAGAGUAACAGUUACUUGGUUUUAGUGGCACGAGGUGUUUUGGUAGAUUAACACCUUCUCACAUGACCUUGCAGAUUCACCCUGCAGAAACUGGUAAGGCAUUGGAAUCCAUAUCAGAGGAGCAAAUGGACCAUUUGCUGAUUUUAUAAAUCAGACAUCAGAAUCUCAGAAAUGUCUACAUCUGCAUUCUGGGGAGACCUGCAGAAGUACACUGUGCUUCACACAGAAGAGAAAAUUUUAAUCAGUGACUGAGAGUCAGCAAAUUCUUUUGAAGUUCAAAUAAACCUUUAUGCUCAA